This 45-nucleotide non-coding RNA is filed under the name Schistosoma mattheei. Lineage: Eukaryota; Metazoa; Platyhelminthes; Trematoda; Strigeidida; Schistosomatidae. The record is from RNAcentral.
AUCUAGCUCACGAGUCCAAAAUAGGACGAAAUGCUCAUCCUGGAU